GGCUAAUCUGAUGGUAGUGAGCCUUCAGAACUUAUUAACACUAGUGUCAUAAAGUUGGUAUACCAUCCGCCUCACUCACUGUUAAAUUUGACUGGCCCUAA
This is an unclassified non-coding RNA of Vulpes vulpes (red fox), 101 nucleotides long. It matches the Rfam family "Y RNA". From Rfam's summary of the family: Y RNAs are components of the Ro ribonucleoprotein particle (Ro RNP), in association with Ro60 and La proteins. The Y RNAs and Ro60 and La proteins are well conserved, but the function of the Ro RNP is not known. In humans the RNA component can be one of four small RNAs -- hY1, hY3, hY4 and hY5. The record is from Ensembl. Lineage: Eukaryota; Metazoa; Chordata; Mammalia; Carnivora; Canidae.